This 442-nucleotide ribosomal RNA is filed under the name uncultured bacterium. Its description in RNAcentral is "partial 16S ribosomal RNA". It matches the Rfam family "Bacterial small subunit ribosomal RNA", at positions 338 to 795 of the family's 1533-position model. The record is from RNAcentral.
CCUACGGGUGGCUGCAGUAGGGAAUCUUGCACAAUGGGCGAAAGCCUGAUGCAGCAACGCCGCGUGCAGGAUGAAGGCCUUCGGGUUGUAAACUGCUUUUAUCAGCGAGAAAAAUGACGGUACCUUAUGAAUAAGGAUCGGCUAACUACGUGCCAGCAGCCGCGGUCAUACGUAGGAUCCGAGCAUUAUCCGGAUUGACUGGGUGUAAAGAGUGGGGUAGGAGGGAUGAUAAGUAGCUAGGGGAAUCGGGUGGCUCAAACAUUCAGACUAUUAGCUAAACUGUUAAGCUCGAGAGCGUUAGGGGUAACUGGAAUUUCUAGUGUAGGAGUGAAAUGCGUAGAUAUUAGGAGGAACACCAGUAGCGUAGGCAGGUUACUGGGACGGUACUGACGCUAAGGCACGAAAGCGUAGGGAGCAAACGGGAUUAGAUACCCUAGUAGUC